This 483-nucleotide ribosomal RNA is filed under the name uncultured bacterium. Its description in RNAcentral is "partial 16S ribosomal RNA". It matches the Rfam family "Bacterial small subunit ribosomal RNA", at positions 30 to 507 of the family's 1533-position model. The record is from RNAcentral.
UUGAACGCUGUCGGCAGGCCUAACACAUGCAAGUCGAGCGGAUGAAGGGAGCUUGCUCCUGGAUUCAGCGGCGGACGGGUGAGUAAUGCCUAGGAAUCUGCCUGGUAGUGGGGGAUAACGUCCGGAAACGGGCGCUAAUACCGCAUACGUCCUGAGGGAGAAAGUGGGGGAUCUUCGGACCUCACGCUAUCAGAUGAGCCUAGGUCGGAUUAGCUAGUUGGUGGGGUAAAGGCCUACCAAGGCGACGAUCCGUAACUGGUCUGAGAGGAUGAUCAGUCACACUGGAACUGAGACACGGUCCAGACUCCUACGGGAGGCAGCAGUGGGGAAUAUUGGACAAUGGGCGAAAGCCUGAUCCAGCCAUGCCGCGUGUGUGAAGAAGGUCUUCGGAUUGUAAAGCACUUUAAGUUGGGAGGAAGGGCAGUAAGUUAAUACCUUGCUGUUUUGACGUUACCAACAGAAUAAGCACCGGCUAACUUCGUG